RNAcentral lists this ribosomal RNA (445 nucleotides) under uncultured bacterium. RNAcentral describes it as "partial 16S ribosomal RNA". It matches the Rfam family "Bacterial small subunit ribosomal RNA", at positions 354 to 796 of the family's 1533-position model. The record is from RNAcentral.
GUAAGGAAUAUUGGACAAUGGACGCAAGUCUGAUCCAGCCAUGCCGCGUGAAGGAUUAAGGUCCUCUGGAUUGUAAACUUCUUUUAUAAGGGACGAAAAAAGGCUUUUCUAAGUCGUCUGACGGUACCUUAUGAAUAAGCACCGGCUAACUCCGUGCCAGCAGCCGCGGUAAUACGGAGGGUGCAAGCGUUAUCCGGAUUCACUGGGUUUAAAGGGUGCGUAGGCGGGCAGGUAAGUCAGUGGUGAAAUCCUAGAGCUUAAAUCUAGAACUGCCAUUGAUACUAUCUGUCUUGAAUAUUGUGGAAGUAAGAGGAAUAUGUCAUGUAGCGGUGAAAUGCUUAGAUAUGACAUAGAACAACUAUUGAGAAAGCAGCUUACUACGCAUAUAUUGACGCUGAGGCACGAAAGCAUGGGGAGCAAACAGGAUUAGAUACCCUAGUAGUCC